Molecule: long non-coding RNA, 143 nt
Organism: Strigops habroptila (Kakapo)
Lineage: Eukaryota; Metazoa; Chordata; Aves; Psittaciformes; Psittacidae
Exons: 2
Source: RefSeq, a predicted model, not a curated record
AUGAGUCACGUAUUUGUGAGCCAUUUCACCACGAGGGUGUUUGGAUGGAAGACAGGAACCUGCUCACCCAAACAGCAACAAAGGUGAAAAACAUCAUAGACUGAAGAGUGAAUAAAAAUGCCUGAUUAAUGGUGUGCCUCUAA